CAGUGACCACAGUGUCGUGGCUCUGCCAACCCCGCGAACUUAUACUAUUUACGUUGCCUCGGCGGGCCCCCCGCCGCAGGCCCACGCAUAACGCUCUGACAAGCUCUGCGCUCCUUCUGAACUAGAAACUUUAAACGAGUAA
This 142-nucleotide unclassified non-coding RNA is filed under the name uncultured Sordariomycetes. RNAcentral describes it as "sequence contains ITS1". The record is from RNAcentral. Lineage: Eukaryota; Fungi; Ascomycota; Sordariomycetes.